This 578-nucleotide ribosomal RNA is filed under the name uncultured Actinomycetes bacterium. RNAcentral describes it as "bacterial SSU rRNA". It matches the Rfam family "Bacterial small subunit ribosomal RNA", at positions 232 to 822 of the family's 1533-position model. The record is from RNAcentral. Lineage: Bacteria; Bacillati; Actinomycetota; Actinomycetes.
CGCGGCCUAUCAGCUUGUUGGUGAGGUAACGGCCCACCAAGGCGACGACGGGUAGCCGGCCUGAGAGGGUGACCGGCCACACUGGGACUGAGACACGGCCCAGACUCCUACGGGAGGCAGCAGUGGGGAAUAUUGCACAAUGGGCGCAAGCCUAAUGCAGCAACGCCGCGUGAGGGACGACGGCCUUCGGGUUGUAAACCUCUUUUAGCAGGGAAGAAGCGAAAGUGACGGUACCUGCAGAAAAAGCACCGGCUAACUACGUGCCAGCAGCCGCGGUAAUACGUAGGGUGCAAGCGUUGUCCGGAAUUAUUGGGCGUAAAGAGCUCGUAGGCGGUUUGUCGCGUCUGCUGUGAAAAUCCGAGGCUCAACCUCGGACCUGCAGUGGGUACGGGCAAACUAGAGUGCGGUAGGGGAGAUUGGAAUUCCUGGUGUAGCGGUGGAAUGCGCAGAUAUCAGGAGGAACACCAAUGGCGAAGGCAGAUCUCUGGGCCGUAACUGACGCUGAGGAGCGAAAGCGUGGGGAGCGAACAGGAUUAGAUACCCUGGUAGUCCACGCCGUAAACGGUGGGAACUAGAUG